UCCGAAGGGGGCUAGCGUUGUUCGGAAUUACUGGGCGUAAAGGGCGCGUAGGCGGCGUGUCCAGUCAGGCGUGAAAGCCCCGGGCUCAACCUGGGAACCGCGCUUGAGACUGGCAUGCUCGAGUUCGGGAGAGGAUGGUGGAAUUCCCAGUGUAGAGGUGAAAUUCGUAGAUAUUGGGAAGAACACCGAUGGCGAAGGCAGCCAUCUGGACCGACACUGACGCUGAGGCGCGAAAGCGUGGGGAGCAAACAGG
Molecule: ribosomal RNA, 253 nt
Filed under: uncultured bacterium
Lineage: Bacteria
Description: partial 16S ribosomal RNA
Rfam family: Bacterial small subunit ribosomal RNA
Source: RNAcentral